CGGAGGGAAGCUCCCGCUGUAUUACAUUGUGAAACAGCUGCGUUACGUGGACUAAAAUAAAAGUUUUAAAUGUAGUGCCACUGCAGUGAGAUCAUUGUGCCCGUAAGGCGUGUGACAGAAGCUGUCCGGGCAGGAGGCUGAAGAAUCCCAAUUCUCCCAGCCUUCCCUCAGAGCAGAGGUGCUCUAUUCCUGCAAUAAUCUUGGUGGCCUCCUCUGGACUAGCUCCAGCAGAUUGAGGACUAGCUCCUUCCUGUGUUUGAGGACCCCAGAGCUGAAUGCAGUACUUGAAGGUGAAAGUGAAAGACCGUUAAUGGAAGAAGUUUGAGUUACCUGAUCUUUUAAAAGGAUAUUGGAAAGAUGGUUUAGACAAUGAAGGAGUAUUUGGCUUGUCGCUCUUGGAUGGUAAACACUAAAGACUUCACAAGCUGCAAAGACAUACUUCAAGUACCCAAGAAUUUUUAGAAAUCUAAAGCAAAAAGGACCUACUCUUCCUCUGAGAUUUUGAACCUUAAAUCCAUGUUUCAAAGGAAGUAUAUAUGCUCAGCAACUAUAAUAGCCAGGCAUUAAAGGAUACAGCACUCUGGUUGACAACUUAAGCAAUGAGCUGUGGUGGUUUUGGAAGACAGGAACAGAAGAAAAAAGACAGGAGUAUGGUUUUUCAUCACUAUAUGGAUCACCAUAUCUAUGUCCUGCAUGUGGCUGCAUUCUUUUAACCAGUUGUACCUGUGUGUUGGAUGGUUUUUACUCUGGUUAUUUUCCUUCAUCUGACUGUAAGGAUUUGUUACCUCUUUAUGCAAGAAGAAAGUUAUUUCUUUGGGAGAACAACCAUCUCUUGUUUGUAUUUAUAUAAUAUGUCACAGGAUAUUGUGGUCCAUGACAUUAAGCCAAUUACAGCAGUAGAGCUACAUUAGUCACUGGUGAUGGCACCUGGAUGAUAAGAAAGUCAAGGAAACCAGCAAGACUCUAGAAGUCUAAAUUAAGUGAUGAGAGCAUAAGCAAAUGCCAUUACUAAAAGGAAAUGUUGUGAUGGACGGGUUAAGAUUCUACUAGUCAAUUACUGACAGAAUUUGACUGACAUUCAGGUUUUCCUUUACUCUGACCAGUGCUUCUCAAUCAAUCACAGUACCAAAACCUUUCCGCAAUUUGAAAGCUUAUCAUUUUGGAGUGAUGUUUAAAGGAAUUUUAUUUUUAAAAAAUGUAUUUCAAUUUUUUGCUGGAAAAUGCAUAUAUCUUUACAACAGGUGUUUCUCUGUUCUGUGCUGUUAUUUGUGCUCUUGUCAUUGUCAUGUGUCUCCAGAUAUUGAACUUUUUUUUCCCUCACCUUUUUCUUAAGAUAUUUAGAAAGUUUAAAUUUAUAAAUUAGCUUAGUUGUAACUUAGUUUUUAACUUAUAAAUUUUUAUAAUUUCAUAGGAAAGUCAGAAACAAACCCUGAGGAAGUACAGUUAAUAGACAGGAAGUUAUCACACAUUUAAAUAUGCUGCAGUGUCUAAAUAUAUAAAUACUGAUUACACAGCUCUCCUGAACUUUGGACACUGCCACCCAACACAUGAAAGUACUCUAAAAACUAGGAGAUAUGUGCAGAGCUCUCAAUUUUUGCAGGGUUUUUAUAACUGUAAACCACAAGCUCUUGUGAAAUAGCAACACCACAAAGGUUUGUUCUUGCUUAUAUUUCACCAGAAGCUGUUACCACAAGUGCCAACUGUCUACAGAUGAUACAGGAAUUAAUUUGUAAAGAAGGAGAUGCAACAAAUUAUCAAGAAAAUACUUUUACAAAAUCACUUGGGGUGUUAUUUCUGCUAUUGGGACUACCAGGGUGUUAUUUCUGCUAUUGGGACUACCAGGUAACAAAUAUGAUUUGUACUGAUAUUUUGCUCUGCUCGCAACCACAGCAAGCCCUGACAGACCAGUAACCUUGAAUCUUGUUUAUUGCACACCAGGGCAUGAGCUGGGACUUUUAAAACAUUUCUACUUACUGUUCUGUCUGUGGAAGCUCUGCCAACUUCUCCCUUCACUCUCUAGUGUGUUUAGUAAAGAGUUUGCAUUGCUUUUCUUCCAGUUCUAGGCCUUAAGUUUACCUGGUGGCUAAUACACAUCUUGUCUUCUGCUGGGAAAUCAAACACCACCUCAGAUUGAUGCUUCUGAGAUUGUUUCCAUCCUAAUAAAUCAGAAACUUAUUAUGUAUUAAUCUUCUACAUUAAUGAUUGUUUGAAAUGUAUUUACAUUUAUUUUAGACAGACAAAAACAGGGAAAAUAAUUUCCAGAAAUAUUUUCUUUGAAGUUUAUAUUACUUUUUUUUUUUUUGCAAAGUUUGAUCAUAAGUGGACAUAUUAAAACUAAACAUUUUUCUUGGUCCAUCCAUUUCAAUCCAUUUAAGAUUCUUGUUUCUGACAGAGAUAGCUAUUGUAUUUCAGAAAACAAAAUAAAGAUUGAUACAGACAGUUUAUGAUGUCCUUCAUUAAAAAACCCUCUAUCCAAGCCUUUGGAUAUCACCACACAAUAAGAAACUGUUAUGAGUUUUCACCUUGGAGACAUCUCCUGUUGAGUUCUACCCAGCAAAAAUUUCAGCCAGAGGUGAGUGAAGUGCUUCAAACCUCAUAAACUGUGAAAACAGAGGAGACCUUGAGGUAUCAAUGUGUGGAGGAAAUUUUGAAACUAACUUUAGAAUUUUUACUUGAAAAUGUCAUUCUUAAAAUGCCCUAAAUGUAGACGAUAAACUGCUUGUGAAGCUAUUUGCCUGUGUUUAUAUCGAAAGGAUAACAUAUUAGCUUUCUUUAGAUUAAAAAUAAAACAAAACAAAACAAAAAAAAACUGGAGAAAAAAGGAGUGCUGUUUCAUAUUUUUGGUCACUUGAUGGCACUAAACUAACACUGUAUACAUAUUAAUCACCAAUAGCAUAAGAAUAUUUCCUUGCCAGUGUUUUGUUUUCUUUUUUUAUU
This is a long non-coding RNA of Passer domesticus (house sparrow), 2937 nucleotides long. RefSeq lists it as uncharacterized. The transcript is spliced from 3 exons. NCBI's taxonomy places the organism in Eukaryota, Metazoa, Chordata, Aves, Passeriformes, Passeridae. The record is from RefSeq and is a predicted model, not a curated record.